GAUCUCCUACCUUUUAUAUCUGCCCUUUCAUAUUAGUUCCUAAUAUUUUAUUUUCUGAAGUGCACUGUCAAUUUCCUAUGUAGGAAUCCCUGGUUGUGCUAAAUCGGCACUCUGUAAUGAAAUAAUGAGUUCUCCUGGAAGGCUUGGUGAAAAGUUUGAUGGGUGAUCUUAUCAAAGCGAGAUACAAGGUGAAGGUUGAUCAAGAGAACCGCUAGAAACUGUACUGACAAAAAUGCUCCCAAUGAAGAAGUUUGGAGAAAGAUUGAGGACAUGUGUCGCAGCACAGGGGCAUCUGGUGUUCCAGUCAUACCCGACUCAGAAAGUCAAUUUUCUUUCAUGGAUUCUUAUCAACAAUUUAGGAACCUUACUGUUCUUGUGAAAACAUUGCUUCUGUUUUAUCUAUUUGAACUUGCUUCA
Molecule: non-coding RNA, 417 nt
Organism: Salvia hispanica
Lineage: Eukaryota; Viridiplantae; Streptophyta; Magnoliopsida; Lamiales; Lamiaceae
Source: RefSeq, a predicted model, not a curated record